This 207-nucleotide ribosomal RNA is filed under the name uncultured bacterium. RNAcentral describes it as "partial 16S ribosomal RNA". It matches the Rfam family "Bacterial small subunit ribosomal RNA", at positions 568 to 774 of the family's 1533-position model. The record is from RNAcentral.
CGCGUAGGCGGUUUGUUAAGUUGGAUGUGAAAGCCCCGGGCUCAACCUGGGAACUGCAUCCAAAACUGGCAAGCUAGAGUACGGUAGAGGGUGGUGGAAUUUCCUGUGUAGCGGUGAAAUGCGUAGAUAUAGGAAGGAACACCAGUGGCGAAGGCGACCACCUGGACUGAUACUGACACUGAGGUGCGAAAGCGUGGGGAGCAAACA